GAAACCAGGAGGAAGACAAAUCAGCCAGCUAGAACAGCAGCAAAGAACAGCCAGGAGAUGCCCCACACCAUUUAUGCCGCUGUGCAGCAUCCCAAACAGAAUCCUUUACAAACAGAUGAUGAGAAGAUACAGAAGGGACGGCGCAGCCACCAAAACCAGGGAGAGAGAACAAUUUAUUCAGAGAUCACCAAGGCUCAGGAGAGUGAAGACCCAAAGAGCUGCAAGACUAUCUAUGAAACAGUGCAAAGCACCCCGUAUAGGAAUCCUCUGGCCUGUAUUUAACACACACACACGCACACGCACAUACACACCCUUUGCAAAGCCAGCAAGAGAUGCCUUCCCCGCCACCAGACCUGGGGGACUGCCUGAGCCCCUUCUCCCAAAGGCAGCCUGGAGCACCUGCAGAAGACCUCCACGCAUGAGAGAGAGAGGGGGGAGAGGGAGGGAGGGAGGGAGGGAGGGAGAGAGAGAGAGAGAGAGAGAGAGAGAGAGAAGGAGAAGGAGAAGUGGAGAAGACAAGUCAUGGGCACCGUUUUACGGUGGUUCUCCUCCUAGCUCUCGAGUCGCACGCAAGUAGUGUUAGCAGCGGGGCAGAGAUUGGCCCUGAGGCCCCUCCUGUGCGGGGUCCCUCAGGGGUCGGUCCUCUCGC
RNAcentral lists this long non-coding RNA (649 nucleotides) under Naja naja (Indian cobra). Its description in RNAcentral is "lncRNA (ENSNNAG00000018953.1)". The record is from RNAcentral. Lineage: Eukaryota; Metazoa; Chordata; Lepidosauria; Squamata; Elapidae.